UACGUAGGGGGCAAGCGUUGUCCGGAUUUAUUGGGCGUAAAGAGCGUGUAGGCGGCCACACAGGUCUGCUGUGAAAACUCGAGGCUCAACCUCGAGCUGUCGGUGGAAACCGUGUGGCUAGAGUCCGGAAGAGGAGAGUGGAAUUCCCGGUGUAGCGGUGAAAUGCGCAGAUAUCAGGAGGAACACCGGUGGCGAAGGCGGUUCUCUGGGAAUGUCCUGACGCUGAGGAGCGAAAGUGUGGGGAGCGAACAGG
This 253-nucleotide ribosomal RNA is filed under the name uncultured bacterium. Its description in RNAcentral is "partial 16S ribosomal RNA". It matches the Rfam family "Bacterial small subunit ribosomal RNA", at positions 524 to 776 of the family's 1533-position model. The record is from RNAcentral.